GAGACACAACAAAAUUUAUAGAGAAAAAUGGGAUAAAUGAGAAAGAGAGAGAAAACCACACCAUGAUCAACACCCCCACACCAUUCGAGCACCAUAGGACACCAAAAAGUCUUUAAAAGUUAAAGGGGAGAAAAAACAAAGAAGGGACCACACCCAAAAAGACAGGCAACAACCCAUUAGAAAUCCUUAAAGUUCCUUUUUCCGUUAGGGUGCCUGCGGAAGGAU
This 225-nucleotide ribosomal RNA is filed under the name Pleurotus nebrodensis. RNAcentral describes it as "partial 18S ribosomal RNA". The record is from RNAcentral. Lineage: Eukaryota; Fungi; Basidiomycota; Agaricomycetes; Agaricales; Pleurotaceae.